UGGGGAAUAUUGGGCAAUGGGGGCAACCCUGACCCAGCGACGCCGCGUGAGGGAAGAAGGCCUUCGGGUUGUAAACCUCUUUUGUAUGGGAAGAAGGACGUGACGGUACCGUACGAAUAAGUCCCGGCUAACUACGUGCCAGCAGCCGCGGUAAUACGUAGGGGACGAGCGUUGUCCGGAAUUACUGGGCGUAAAGGGCGCGCAGGCUGUGCUGCAAGUCAGCUGUGAAAUAUCUGGGCUUAACCCGGUUAUGCGGUUGAGACUGCAGUGCUGGAGUGCUGUAGAGGCAAGCGGAAUUCCCGAGUGUAGCGGUGAAAUGCGUAGAUAUUGGGAAGAACGACCGGUGGCGAAGGCGGCUUGGCUGGGCAGCAACGUGACGCUGAGGCGCGAAAGCCAGGG
This 399-nucleotide ribosomal RNA is filed under the name uncultured bacterium. RNAcentral's name for it is "bacterial SSU rRNA". It matches the Rfam family "Bacterial small subunit ribosomal RNA", at positions 355 to 765 of the family's 1533-position model. The record is from RNAcentral.